Molecule: ribosomal RNA, 422 nt
Filed under: uncultured bacterium
Lineage: Bacteria
Description: partial 16S ribosomal RNA
Rfam family: Bacterial small subunit ribosomal RNA
Source: RNAcentral
AAUAUUGGACAAUGGGGGCAACCCUGAUCCAGCCAUGCCGCGUGUGUGAAGAAGGUCUUCGGAUUGUAAAGCACUCUCAGUUGGGAGGAAGGGCUGUAGGUUAAUACCCUGAAGUUUUGACGUUACCAACAGACUAAGCAACGGCUAACUCUGUGCCAGCAGCCGCGGUAAUACAGAGGGUGCAAGCGUUAAUCGGAAUUACUGGGCGUAAAGCGCGCGUAGGUGGUUCAGUAAGAUGGGUGUGAAAUCCCCGGGCUUAACCUGGGAACUGCUUUCAAAACUGGUGAGCUAGAGUACGGUAGAGGGUAGUGGAAUUUCCUGUGUAGCGGUGAAAUGCGUAGAUAUUGGAAGGAACACCAGUGGCGAAGGCGACUACCUGGACUGAUACUGACACUGAGGUGCGAAAGCGUGGGGAGCAAACA